CUAAACAGUUACUCGCUGCAUCCUCUUUAAUCCUGAUUUUUACGCCGACAGAAAGAUGUAGGCUUAUUCUAGGCCGCGAGUUCAGUCACGUCACGCUCCGCUUUGGCUUUUUGAUGCUACUUUUCGAUCAGAAGAGUUGGGUGCGGUAUCCUUCAAAGAAAUAACUUCCCACAUUACUUCUAAAGAAAGAAAAAAGAAAUAGUGGCGCUAAAUGAAAAGCCUGGGCUCACAGCUUGCAGCCGCAGCUGCCGGCAUUGUUGCCCGCCAGGCUCGCCUGGCCGAAGAACAGACGAGAGAGAACGCGAGGCGGCCGAGCGGGUCCGCGCGGCAGAUCUCUCCAUCCAAGCAUCCUGGAUGAAUAAGCUGCAGGCGGCUUGAUGGUCCGCCUCGCUUUAAUGAAGAUCACACAUUGUCUGAGAGCCACCCCGGGCUAUUGAUCCUCAACCAAACCCCCUGUGUGUUAAAAUGUCAAGCAGAAUAGUGGCCCUGAUGCUAAUGAUUGCCAUUUAUCGAAGGAGUACCUCAGGGAGCCGUUCUAGAGCCACCCACAAGUAAUUUAAGGAAAGUUGCCGCUUGACGCUAGCCAGAAGGAAGCUGGCGAGAGAAAGGGUAGCGAUGCGCUAACGGAUUAGCUGCCAUCCAGCGGCCAUCCUGCGGCGAGACGGCCUUGGAAGACUGCGAGCGCAUUCCUUCAGCCUCCAUCUCACCUUGCAGGCCUUUGCGGACUCAUUACGGCGAUGCCAGAUUAAUGCCGGUACGCAGGCGAGCGGCGCACUAAACGGAGUCUAUCUGCGGGGGCUUUUUGCCCCUUCCAAUGUGUCCGCGCAAUCUCCCGUGCAGGGGAAGAGGCUAUUAGGCGACGGACGGGCGGGCGGGCUCUUCGAGAAAAGGAUGGAGCGAAUCAAAGCCGGGGAAAUUGAACACAGGUAGACAAAUACGCUCACACUAGAGCCAAAUAGAGGAGCUUUGAAGAUCACCAUCUGUAUUUUUUUUUCUUCCUUUUUUUAACAAGCCAGCAUGUGAGGCUUCACAUCUUAUUAAGGAGCAAAGUGAAGCGUUAAAAUGCAUUCCAAUGGGUCUUUUCCACA
Molecule: long non-coding RNA, 1088 nt
Organism: Syngnathus acus (greater pipefish)
Lineage: Eukaryota; Metazoa; Chordata; Actinopteri; Syngnathiformes; Syngnathidae
Exons: 5
Source: RefSeq, a predicted model, not a curated record